UGGAGAUGCUACAUUACAAGGGUCACAAGAAAGCGAAUUAGAAGAAUGGUGGAAUAGACAGUUGCAGACAUGGUUUCCAAACAUCAGUGCCACCCCUGUACAAUCGGGAGGUGGUCCACAAGCAAGAACAACACAGGGGCAGGACACAACACAAGGCUCACAAGAAAUGGAUAUGCAAGAUAGUGACAGCGAACAGUUCUCUGCUGAUUUUCCAAGGCCACAAAGCGAUCGACAGAGUAUUGCACCACAGCAGCACCCGUCAAGCCCUGCACAGGAUUUACAAGGGAUGGAAAAUGAACCCCAACCAUCAACAUCUCGUGGAAUACAAGAGCCUGUUUG
This is a long non-coding RNA of Thamnophis elegans (Western terrestrial garter snake), 339 nucleotides long. RefSeq lists it as uncharacterized. The transcript has 4 exons. The record is from RefSeq and is a predicted model, not a curated record. Lineage: Eukaryota; Metazoa; Chordata; Lepidosauria; Squamata; Natricidae.